GAUGAACGCUGGCGGCGUGCCUAAUACAUGCAAGUCGAACGAAACUUCUUUAUAACCGAGUGCAUGCACUCACCGAUAAAGAGUUGAGUGGCGAACGGGUGAGUAACACGUUGGCAACCUGCCCAAACGAGGGGGAUAACACUUGGAAACAGGUGCUAAUACCGCAUAACCAUAGUUACCGCAUGGUAACUAUGUAAAAGGUGGCUAUACUACCGCUUUUGGAUGGGCCCGCGGCGCAUUAGCUAGUUGGUAGGGUAAAGGCUUACCAAGGCAAUGAUGCGUAGCCGAAUUGAGAGGUUGAUCGGCCACAUUGGGACUGAGACACGGCCCAAACUCCUACGGGAGGCAGCAGUAGGGAAUCUUCCACAAUGGGCGAAAGCCUGAUGGAGCAACGCCGCGUGGGUGAAGAAGGUCUUCGGAUCGUAAAACCCUGUUGUUAGAGAAGAAAGUGCGUGAGAGUAACUGUUCACGUUUCGACGGUAUCUAACCGGAAAGCCACGGCUAACUACGUG
RNAcentral lists this ribosomal RNA (512 nucleotides) under uncultured bacterium. RNAcentral's name for it is "partial 16S ribosomal RNA". It matches the Rfam family "Bacterial small subunit ribosomal RNA", at positions 28 to 507 of the family's 1533-position model. The record is from RNAcentral.